GUUUUUUGCUUUUUUUUU
Molecule: small RNA, 18 nt
Filed under: Arabidopsis thaliana (thale cress)
Lineage: Eukaryota; Viridiplantae; Streptophyta; Magnoliopsida; Brassicales; Brassicaceae
Description: ATSL144330
Source: RNAcentral